Molecule: non-coding RNA, 180 nt
Organism: Leptonychotes weddellii (Weddell seal)
Lineage: Eukaryota; Metazoa; Chordata; Mammalia; Carnivora; Phocidae
Source: RefSeq, a predicted model, not a curated record
UCCAUCACUACAGUGGCAAUAAUAUUGAAUUGGGCACAGCAUGUGGGAAAUACUACAGAGUAUGCACGCUGGCUAUCAUUGAUCCAGGUGAUUCUGAUAUCAUUCGAAGCAUGCCAGAACAGACUGGUGAAAAGUAAAUCACGCAAAAUUUUUCUUUAAUAAAACUGGCCACAGCUUGUU